AGUGGACGCUGGCGGUAGGCCUAACACAUGCAAGUCGAACGGCAGCACAGUAAGAGCUUGCUCUUACGGGUGGCGAGUGGCGGACGGGUGAGGAAUACAUCGGAAUCUACUUUUUCGUGGGGGAUAACGUAGGGAAACUUACGCUAAUACCGCAUACGACCUACGGGUGAAAGCAGGGGAUCUUCGACCUUGCGCGAUUGAAUGAGCCGAUGUCGGAUUAGCUAGUUGGCGGGGUAAAGGCCCACCAAGGCGACGAUCCGUAGCUGGUCUGAGAGGAUGAUCGGCCACACUGGAACUGAGACACGGUCCAGACUCCUACGGGAGGCAGCAGUGGGGAAUAUUGGACAAUGGGCGCAAGCCUGAUCCAGCCAUACCGCGUGGGUGAAGAAGGCCUUCGGGUUGUAAAGCCCUUUUGUUGGGAAAGAAAAGCAGCAGGUUAAUACCCCGCUGUUCUGACGGUACCCAAAGAAUAAGCACCGGCUAACUUCGUG
This 491-nucleotide ribosomal RNA is filed under the name uncultured bacterium. Its description in RNAcentral is "partial 16S ribosomal RNA". It matches the Rfam family "Bacterial small subunit ribosomal RNA", at positions 29 to 507 of the family's 1533-position model. The record is from RNAcentral.